RNAcentral lists this ribosomal RNA (300 nucleotides) under uncultured Archaeoglobus sp. RNAcentral describes it as "partial 16S ribosomal RNA". The stretch from base 52 to 300 matches the Rfam family "Bacterial small subunit ribosomal RNA", at positions 547 to 795 of the family's 1533-position model. Lineage: Archaea; Methanobacteriati; Methanobacteriota; Archaeoglobi; Archaeoglobales; Archaeoglobaceae. The record is from RNAcentral.
GGAAGGGGGGGGGCGGGGGCGGGGGAGAGGAGGAGGGGGGAAGGGGUGUGCGGAAUGACGGGGGGGAAAGGGCGCGUGGGUGGCCGGUUAAGGCAAACGUGAAAUGCCCGGGCUCAACCCGGGAACUGCGUCCGAGACUGGCAGGCUUGAAUCCGGGAGAGGGAUGCGGAAUUCCAGGUGUAGCGGUGAAAUGCGUAGAUAUCUGGAGAAACACCGGUGGCGAAGGCGGCAUCCUGGACCGGUAUUGACGCUGAGGCGCGAAAGCCAGGGGAGCAAACGGGAUUAGAUACCCGGGUAGUC